RNAcentral lists this ribosomal RNA (415 nucleotides) under uncultured bacterium. Its description in RNAcentral is "bacterial SSU rRNA". It matches the Rfam family "Bacterial small subunit ribosomal RNA", at positions 355 to 787 of the family's 1533-position model. The record is from RNAcentral.
UGGGGAAUAUUGCACAAUGGGGGAAACCCUGAUGCAGCGACGCCGCGUGAAGGAAGAAGUAUCUCGGUAUGUAAACUUCUAUCAGCAGGGAAGAAAAUGACGGUACCUGAGUAAGAAGCCCCGGCUAACUACGUGCCAGCAGCCGCGGUAAUACGUAGGGGGCAAGCGUUAUCCGGAUUUACUGGGUGUAAAGGGAGCGUAGACGGCAUGGCAAGUCUGAAGUGAAAGCCCGGGGCUCAACUUCCGGAUUGCAUUGGAAACUGUGGGACUUGAGUGCCGGAGAGGUAAGCGGAAUUCCUAGUGUAGCGGUGAAAUGCGUAGAUAUUAGGAGGAACACCAGUGGCGAAGGCGGCUUACUGGACGGUAACUGACGUUGAGGCUCGAAAGCGUGGGGAGCAAACAGGAUUAGAUACCC